ACAGCACUUACUGAAUGCCCACCCCGUGUCUGCCAGCAGGGAGCUGGAGGAGAAAGCAUCUCUGCAUUAGGGGCUCCAGACAGAGACAUGAGACAAUGGAGAUGGCACCAAGAAGUGCAGUUUGGACAUCAAACAUGAAUCGUUGGUUUGUGUCUGCAGCACUGCAGCCAACACUUCUGGAGCACAAGGCUCUGCAGGGAAGGAUUCUGGAGCCCCCAUUCAUCUGAAGGGCAUCCGAGGAGGUUCUGUCUUGUUUAAUGCGAUCGAGAAGCUCAGAGUAGAUGUAGGCACUGAGUUGGAGGAGGUUCUAUGGGCUUUGGGCGCUCUGACAAAUCAUACACAGUUGCUGCGAGUCCGCAGGGGGGCCGACUCUCCAACCUGGUUGAAACUCCAGGACAAGUUCAAGCAGAGGGUCCAUGUACCCAGCAUGUCAUCCCUGAGGAUUGAGAACCUGGCCCCUGAGGACAGCGGGCAGUAUUUUGCCAACAUCACCUCUACUAAGGGAGAGGGGAUUUUCCAGGUUUUCUACCUCACUGUCUAUGGUGAGUGACACCCCUUUCUCCUCCAUCCUCUGGCUUACCUGCUUUUUUUGUCCCUAGA
RNAcentral lists this long non-coding RNA (600 nucleotides) under Pan troglodytes (chimpanzee). Its description in RNAcentral is "lncRNA (ENSPTRG00000054143.1)". Lineage: Eukaryota; Metazoa; Chordata; Mammalia; Primates; Hominidae. The record is from RNAcentral.